ACGCUAGCGGCGCGCUUAACGCAUGCAAGUCGAGCGAUGAGGCUCCCUUCGGGGAGUCAUCAGCGGCAGACGGGUGAGUAACACGUAGGUAACCUGCCCUCAAGACGGGGAUAACGCCUGGAAACGGGCGCUAAUACCGGAUGACCUUAGUUGGGGAAGAUCCGAUUAAGGAAAGGCUAUGGCGCUUGAGGAGGGGCCUGCGGCCCAUCAGUUAGUUGGUAGGGUAACGGCCUACCUAGGCGAAGACGGGUAGGGGGUGUGAGAGCACGGNCCCCCACACUGGGACUGAGACACGGCCCAGACUCCUACGGGAGGCAGCAGCGGGGAAUAUUGCGCAAUGGACGGAAGUCAGACGCAGCGACGCCGCGUGGGUGAAGAAGGCCUUCGGGUUGUAAAGCCCUUUUCUGAGGGAAGAGAAAGGACGGUACCUUAGGAAUAAGCGUCGGCUAACUACGUGCCAGCAGCCGCGGUAAGACGUAGGACGCGAGCGUUAUCCGGAUUUACUGGGCGUAAAGCGUGUGUAGGCGGCGUGACAAGUUGGGCGUGAAAGCCCCGUGCUCAACGCGGGGAGGCCGCACAAUACUGUCAGGCUAGAGGGCACCAGAGGGGUGUGGAAUUCCCGGAGUAGCGGUAAAAUGCGCAGAUAUCGGGAGGAACACCGGUGACGAAAGCGGCACCCUGGGGUGCGCCUGACGCUGAGAGACGACAGCUAGGGGAGCGAACAGGAUUAGAGACCCUGGUAGUCCUAGCCGUAAACGAUGGAUGCUAGGUGUAGGAGUGACGAGCUUCUGUGCCGCAGCGAACGCGAUAAGCAAACCGGCUGGGGAGUCCGGCCUGCAGGGUUACAACUCAAACGACUUGACGGGGACCCGUACAAGCAAGCGGAGCGUGUGGCUUAAGUUCGAUGCUACCCG
RNAcentral lists this ribosomal RNA (914 nucleotides) under uncultured organism. RNAcentral describes it as "bacterial SSU rRNA". It matches the Rfam family "Bacterial small subunit ribosomal RNA", at positions 33 to 963 of the family's 1533-position model. The record is from RNAcentral.